Molecule: long non-coding RNA, 194 nt
Organism: Cydia amplana
Lineage: Eukaryota; Metazoa; Arthropoda; Insecta; Lepidoptera; Tortricidae
Exons: 2
Source: RefSeq, a predicted model, not a curated record
UUUUAUUUUUAUACGAUUAUACUCGUUAUUUUGACUACAAAAAAUGAAUUUGAGUUUGAUCGAACCAAUAACUUACGCGUAGUGAAUUUUUGAUGUAAUGGUUUUAUUUUCAAUUUUCUACUUGUAACUCUUGUAUGUUUAUUAUUUAUUUGAUUAAAACAAUGAGAGAAAGUUAUUUCAGCAUGAAAAAAUAA